AUUGAACGCUGGCGGCAUGCCUUACACAUGCAAGUCGAACGGCAGCACGGGUGCUUGCACCUGGUGGCGAGUGGCGAACGGGUGAGUAAUACAUCGGAACAUGUCCUGUAGUGGGGGAUAGCCCGGCGAAAGCCGGAUUAAUACCGCAUACGAUCUACGGAUGAAAGCGGGGGACCUUCGGGCCUCGCGCUAUAGGGUUGGCCGAUGGCUGAUUAGCUAGUUGGUGGGGUAAAGGCCUACCAAGGCGACGAUCAGUAGCUGGUCUGAGGGGACGACCAGCCACACUGGGACUGAGACACGGCCCAGACUCCUACGGGAGGCAGCAGUGGGGAAUUUUGGACAAUGGGCGAAAGCCUGAUCCAGCAAUGCCGAGUGUGUGAAGAAGGCCUUCGGGUUGUAAAGCACUUUUGUCCGGAAAGAAAUCCUUGGCCCUAAUACGGUCGGGGGAUGACGGUACCGGAAGAAUAAGCACCGGCUAACUACGUG
RNAcentral lists this ribosomal RNA (486 nucleotides) under uncultured bacterium. RNAcentral describes it as "partial 16S ribosomal RNA". It matches the Rfam family "Bacterial small subunit ribosomal RNA", at positions 30 to 507 of the family's 1533-position model. The record is from RNAcentral.